UCACAUCUUACGAUGGCAGUCUCGUUAGAGUCCUCAGCGUUACCUGUUAGUAACUAACGAUGUGGGUUGCGCUCGUUAUGGCACUUAAGCCGACACCUCACGGCACGAGCUGACGACAACCAUGCAGCACCUACACUACUGCUGUUGCCAGAAAUCCCUUUUCGGGGACGGUCAGUAGCAUUUCAAGCCCGGGUAAGGUUCCUCGCGUAUCAUCGAAUUAAACCACAUGUUCCUCCGCUUGUGCGGGCCCCCGUCAAUUCCUUUGAGUUUCAUUGUUGCCAACGUACUCCCCAGGUGGAUUACUUAUCGCUUUCGCUUAGUCUCUUACAAUAUAUCGCAAAAAACUAGUAAUCAUCGUUUACUGUGUGGACUAC
RNAcentral lists this unclassified non-coding RNA (374 nucleotides) under uncultured Bacteroidales bacterium. RNAcentral describes it as "contains 16S-23S intergenic spacer region". The record is from RNAcentral. Lineage: Bacteria; Pseudomonadati; Bacteroidota; Bacteroidia; Bacteroidales.